CAGGCCUAACACAUGCAAGUCGAGGGGUAACGAUGUCUUCGGACAGGCGACGACCGGCGCACGGGUGAGUAUCGCGUUUGUAACCUACCUUUAACUGGAGAAUAGCCCGAAGAAAUUCGGAUUAAUACUCCAUAAUACUAUGAUCUGGCAUCUUUUUAUAGUUAAAGCUCCGGCGGUUAAAGAUGGACAUGCGUAACAUUAGUUUGUUGGUGAGGUAACGGCUCACCAAGACUACGAUGUUUAGGGGGUCUGAGAGGAUGGUCCCCCACACUGGUACUGAGACACGGACCAGACUCCUACGGGAGGCAGCAGUGAGGAAUAUUGGUCAAUGGGCGAAAGCCUGAACCAGCCAUGCCGCGUGAAGGAUGACAGCGCUAUGCGUUGUAAACUUCUUUUGUACAGGAAGAAACACUUCUACGUGUAGAAGCUUGACGGUACUGUACGAAUAAGCAUCGGCUAACUCCGUGCCAGCAGCCGCGGUAAUACGGAGGAUGCAAGCGUUAUCCGGAUUUAUUGGGUUUAAAGGGUACGUAGGCGGAAAAUUAAGUCAGUAGUGAAAUCCCGCAGCUUAACUGUGGAACUGUUAUUGAUACUGGUUUUCUUGAAUUUAGUUGAGGUAGGCGGAAUGUGUAAUGUAGCGGUGAAAUGCUUAGAUAUUACACAGAACACCGAUUGCGAAGGCAGCUUACUAAGCUAUGAUUGACGCUGAGGUACGAAAGCGUGGGGAGCGAACAGGGUUAGAUACCCUGGUAGUCCACGCCGUAAACGAUGAUCACUCGUUGUUGGCAAUAAACAGUCAGCGACUGAGCGAAAGCAUUAAGUGAUCCACCUGGGGAGUACGCUCGCAAGAGUGAAACUCAAAGGAAUUGACGGGGGCCCGCACAAGCGGAGGAACAUGUGGUUUAAUUCGAUGAUAC
This 917-nucleotide ribosomal RNA is filed under the name uncultured bacterium. Its description in RNAcentral is "bacterial SSU rRNA". It matches the Rfam family "Bacterial small subunit ribosomal RNA", at positions 43 to 960 of the family's 1533-position model. The record is from RNAcentral.